This 332-nucleotide ribosomal RNA is filed under the name uncultured bacterium. RNAcentral describes it as "bacterial SSU rRNA". It matches the Rfam family "Bacterial small subunit ribosomal RNA", at positions 568 to 898 of the family's 1533-position model. The record is from RNAcentral.
CAUGCAGGCGGUCAGGCGCGUUUUGUGUGACAGCGGAGGGCUUAACUCUCCGAGGAUAUGAAAGACGGCGUGACUUGAGAGCGCGAGAGGGACACGGAAUUCCGGGUGGAGUGGUGAAAUGCGUAGAGAUCCGGAGGAACACCGAAGGCGAAGGCAGUGUCCUGGCGUGCAUCUGACGCUGAGGUGCGAAAGCCAGGGGAGCGAACGGGAUUAGAUACCCCGGUAGUCCUGGCCGUAAACGAUGACCACUAGGUGUAGGAGGUAUCGACCCCUUCUGUGCCGGAGGGAACCCAUUAAGUGGUCCGCCUGGGGAGUACGGUCGCAAGAUUAAA